Molecule: ribosomal RNA, 253 nt
Filed under: uncultured bacterium
Lineage: Bacteria
Description: partial 16S ribosomal RNA
Rfam family: Bacterial small subunit ribosomal RNA
Source: RNAcentral
UACAGAGGGUGCAAGCGUUAAUCGGAAUUACUGGGCGUAAAGCGUGCGUAGUCGGCUUUUUAAGUCGGGUGUGAAAUCCCCGGGCUCAACCUGGGAAUUGCACUUGUGACUGCACAGCUGGAGUACGGCAGAGGGGGAUGGAAUUCCGCGUGUAGCAGUGAAAUGCGUAGAUAUGCGGAGGAACACCGAUGGCGAAGGCAGUCCCCUGGGCCUGUACUGACGCUCAUGCACGAAAGCGUGGGGAGCAAACAGG